RNAcentral lists this transfer RNA (73 nucleotides) under archaeon. RNAcentral describes it as "tRNA-Asn". It matches the Rfam family "tRNA". Rfam says of the family: Transfer RNA (tRNA) molecules are approximately 80 nucleotides in length. The record is from RNAcentral.
GCUUCGGUAGCUCAGUGGUUAGAGCAUACGGCUGUUAACCGUAGGGUCGCAGGUUCAAAUCCUGCCCGAAGCG